GUAUUGACGUUUACUUCAGCAACUAACAGCCCUGUUAUAACCUGGAGAAAGUGACGGCGAACAAAGACUGUCAGUGUCAGUGCAGAUAAAAAAUGCAUGUGACUGCUGAGGCCAAGAAUCCAGCUUCUUGUGUGACGGCGGGGAUCGCAAGGAUACCUGCCCCGACCUAUGUCAUCAAUGUUGAUGGAAAGAAAGUGAUCAUCGACAGGUGCAUUGCACUUUAGCAUAGCCUGACCUGCAGCCAAGCAAGCGACCUGACACCAAAAUUUCAGGUCUUACAUUACAUCAAGGGCGGUAAGAAGGAAGGAACGUUACCGUUGUCCCGGCCACAAGGAAGAUGGAACCAGUGAUACUCCCUGGCACAUCCAAGCGAGAAACAGAGACACAAUCACAUCAGAUGCACCCCAAAUGCAAAAAAAGAAAAGCAGAAGAAAGCUCGGCAAAGCAACAGGCUGCAUGAUCUGAGCAU
This is a long non-coding RNA of Hordeum vulgare subsp. vulgare (domesticated barley), 469 nucleotides long. RefSeq lists it as uncharacterized. The record is from RefSeq and is a predicted model, not a curated record. NCBI's taxonomy places the organism in Eukaryota, Viridiplantae, Streptophyta, Magnoliopsida, Poales, Poaceae. The transcript is spliced from 3 exons.